UGCUACAUUCUAGUUAGUGCAUCAGUGUGCCGAGUUAAUCAAAUUUGUGAGAAUCUAGAGGCAGGGAUUUCUUAGGGUGAUAUCUAGAGGUGCACCGAUACAUCGGUCCCAUACUGAAUCAGCAUUGAUACAGGGAAAAUUGAGAGAGCCAGAGAUAGCAGACAUACAAUUAGCAGAAGAAAAGAAGCUGAUUACUGGGUGAUGAAGGACUAUCAAAAGGUCUGGGACUGAGGAGAGGAUAAACUUUUUGAUUUGAGGAUGAAGAACCUCCAGAGCUGCAAGACAUGGCAGAGGGGUGUUGGGUGGACAAAGGACACAUGUGGAGCUACAGGAGAAGGCAGAACUGUUGUGUGCUACUGAUGUAGAGGGAAGCAUUCAACACUGGCAUGGGUUCAAGUCUGAAGCAGCAUAACCUAAAUGGCUGUCUGAUGUCAGCAGAACAGUCUGAAGCCUACUAGCCUACACAGUGUGCACCUGCUGGCUGGCACCGCUCCGCCUGACAUCAGAGCAGUGGGCAGCAGGACAGAACGACCAAGACAAACUGAAGAUGUGAAAUACCUGCUGUGCGCCCAGCCCACAGCACAGGAAGUCACGCAGGAGCUUCCUCACCAGCACCCAACCUCUCAGUGCCACACUCAAGGAGACAUGACUUCAGAUCUGGAAUGAGAGGCUAAAGAAAAUACCCAACACCAGAAAAAUGGGCAUUUCAGCAGCUGAGUCCUUACCACCAGGGGCUGAUGAACCAUGACAAAGGUAGCGAUAUCUCAACUGCCUACAUACUGGAGUCAGACACUCCAAGGAACUAAUGAAGAAGUGGGGCUAUACUAUUGAUUCAACCACCUGUGACUGAGGCACAGAGCCUCAGAUUAUGCAACACCUGCAAUGCCCGUUGCUUGAAGGCACAUGUACAAUGAAAGACCCUGCAAAGAACAAUAAACAAGCAGAGCAUGUGUAACAAAAGGGUCAAAUGUGCUGCAGAGACGCACGAAGCAGAAGAACAGUGCCACUGGAAGUUAGGCCUAAAAUACUGUAUCCCUACUACAUGGGUCUUAAUGUUGCCUAGUGUGAAGGGGGUGAAGUCAGAGUUCUUGGUACUGUAUUAAAUGCAAGGUCUAUAUUACACAACUCUGAAAAAAAAGGAACAAAAAUACAUCCAGUUAACACUUCGAUUUGCAAUUACAUGCACACAUGAAAGCUUUAGCAAAUCAGUACUGUGAAUAUUGCUGUAUUAUAGUUUUAUAGUUGGUAGAGUCGGAAGGGACCUGAGCAGAUCAUCAAGUCCGACCCCCUGCCACGGGCAGGAAAGGAUGCUUGGGUCAAAUCACCCCGGCAAGGUGUGUAUCUAGCCUCCCUUUGAAGACCCCCAGGGUACGAGCGAGCACCACUUC
Long non-coding RNA from Gavialis gangeticus (Gharial), 1388 nucleotides. RefSeq lists it as uncharacterized. The transcript has 4 exons. Lineage: Eukaryota; Metazoa; Chordata; Crocodylia; Gavialidae. The record is from RefSeq and is a predicted model, not a curated record.